Sinocyclocheilus grahami is the source of this 2021-nucleotide long non-coding RNA. The record is from Ensembl. NCBI's taxonomy places the organism in Eukaryota, Metazoa, Chordata, Actinopteri, Cypriniformes, Cyprinidae.
GCUACACUCUCUAAUCUUUCAUUAUUACAUCCAUUACUGCCAGAAAAAACUAUUAUCUCCUUUCAUUAGGAAAAAGACGUGUUUUCCACUAAAACCCGGAGACUAGAAGACAAUCUGAAUGACUUAAAGGUCAAACUAUCCGGAGCUUUAAUGGACAAAGACUGUCUUGUCCAGGUCUGACAUCACAUUUCAUAUUAAGCUAUGACCUAACACAAUAUCAACAGUUUUAUCAGACAAAAUUGUAUUUAUAGAACACAUUGUACUACUUGCUUUUAGCAUUGAUUGCCCCUGCUGUCCUUGACCUUUUCUGGGUCGCAGUCCUCCAGUUCAGAAGCACUGUUUUAGAUGUGAUAUGGUAUAAACGCUGACCUUUCUGUCUAUGUCUGUAAAGGAGAACGCAGAGCUCCAUCAGAGGAUCCAGGCUUUGGAUCUGCAGUUGCAGAGGGAGCAGAGGAGCAAACAGGGCUUCACUGAGCAGGUGUGUGAGCUCCAUUCUGAGCUGUCUCAAGCUAAGAGCCAGACCAACAAACAGAAGAGGGAAACCAUGUUGAUGAAGGAGGAGCUGCUUUCCAUUAAAGAGUUGAACGAAAAGCUGUCAUCUGAUCUGACCAAAGCUACAGAGAGACUACAGGUGAUUCUUAACCAGCUACACGAGCUGGAGGCAGAGAAACUGAUCCAAACCAAUCAGAUUGCGGCACUGGAGACUGAGCGCUUGCAGCUGAUAGGAGAGAAAGAGGAACUGAGGAAAACAUUUGAUGAUGGACUUCAUGAGAAGAUGAUAGAGCUGGGAGAGAGAUGCUGCCAGCACAGGUCGGACAACUCUGUCCAUUAUCUAACUUCAGUGUUGCUUGGAAAUGAUUAUUAAUAUUGACUGUACAGAUUUUUUUGGCUCUGAUCCAGGUUAUUAAUUCCAUAUAUACAGAGAAUUGCAGGACAAUCUAGAACAAGAAAAUCAGACUCUGCAAUUAAAAUGUCAAGACCUGGAAAAAAAAGUCAAAAUCUCGGAGGCGGGGUAUAAGCAUAAAGAGGAGGAGCAACAUCAAAUGAGGGCGGAGCUUGAGCAGGAAAAGGAGGAGUUGAGGAAACUGGCUGCUCACUGGAAUGAGAGGUGGCUGGAUGUGGCGAUGACGUUAUGCUCGACACAAGCAGAACUCGAUGAGCUCAAGAGUCAACAGCGAGUGAAUGACAACGUAACUUUUGUUUUCAUUUUUUGUUUCCUUUCAUUGGUCUAAUGUGACCAUUUGUCAAGUGUAGUGUUGCUGUGUUUUAUGUCAGUAUAUCUUUACUCUGACUUACAGCGAGAGCCUGAAGUUUCGCAACAGAUAGAGCCUGAGAGGGACCAAAGCCAAGUGCAGCAGAGACUCACGGGUAGCUCUGUAUGUCCUUUGUUCUAAGUCAAAAAAGUCCCUCGUGAAUAAAUAUAUAAUAUGCAUUUAAAGAGCUGUUUGGUCACAAUGUCAACUUGUAGGUCAAACUGUUUUUUAACCUCCCAAUGUUAAAAAUGUCAUGUCCAAGGUGUCUCUUGAAGUCGUGGAUGGAGAGUUGGUGCAGGUGAAGGCGGAGCUGCUGAAGGUGAGGGACAUGCUGAAAAUCAGAGACACUGAGCUGGAGGAACAGCUCCAGGAGCUGCAGUCUGCUCACCAUCAGGUGGGACCUGCAAACCUGACAGAGAUCUGUGUCAUCUUGGUUGACUGAUGCGAUAACAGAGAUAUGAUUUUUCUUGUGCAGGAGUCACAACAGAGCGAUGAGGUCCAGAGGUUGGAGCAGCUUCUUGCAAAGAGAGAUCAGGAAAUUAAAGAAAAGUAUGUAUAUUUUACUCAUAAUCAUUCCCGUAUGAAAAAAACACGUGUUUAUAUGAUUUAAAUUAUAUGUAAUAUUAAACGUUUAUUUUCUGACCAAAAUGCAUAUUUCAAAUAUAUGCUCGGUAUGUGGGGAAUUAAAGGGAAAAAAUGAAAGGGAAAAAAUGCACUACCAAUCAAAAGUUGAUAUAUAUAUAUAUAUAUAUAUAUGAAGAGUUCAGG